This 3234-nucleotide long non-coding RNA is filed under the name Astyanax mexicanus (Mexican tetra). RNAcentral describes it as "lncRNA (ENSAMXG00005012620.1)". The record is from RNAcentral. Lineage: Eukaryota; Metazoa; Chordata; Actinopteri; Characiformes; Acestrorhamphidae.
CGUCAGUGUCGGAGCGAGAGUGCUGGCACGAGCCCUGAUAUUUUGUGUAACUCUUUGUGUUUUAGCUUUACUGGUGCAGCUCGUGCAGCUCGUGACUUGUUUCUAAAUGGCUAAAAGUAAGAAGUCUCUGAAGAGCCUGUUCUCCAGAAGCGAGCUGAACCUGAAGGAUUCCUCAGAGAAGGAUGAGAGCAGCGCUCGCUCCAAAACACUCAAAUUCUUCACCUGGAGAAAAAAGAAGAAGACACCAGGAGACACCACAGCCACCGACAGAACUGAAUCUCCUGAUCCCAGUGUAGAGGACUGGCCUGAUUCUGACCAGAGGACAUCUAUUUACGCUACUGCCCCAAGGUCAAAGGGGCUCCUAAGUAAGUCUGAGACUGACCUCCACAAACGCAAAGGCUUCACUUCAUUCUCUCUGGGCUGGAGGAAGAAAAAGAAGAAAAUAGCACUUGCCCAGAGUGUUGCUAGCAUCGAUACUGAGCCAGAUGUCAAUGACCAAACCAGAGAGCAGCAAAAUGAAGAGGAGGAAGACCUGGAGGAGAAUGUUUUCAGCCAAGAAGCACAAAGUGAGGUGGUUAAACCUGCAUCCACUCAUAACCUGCCCUCUUUUGUCUUCAUUGACCAGCUGAUAGAGUCUGAAGGAGUUCCAGAAGGUCCUAGCCCAGCCUCAGCUCCUUUUACACCAGUUACCUUGGAUGGCACCUUCAUUUCUUACAUUGAUUCAGACAGUGAUGGUUACCACACUCCUCCAGAAAGUCCUGAUAUGGAUGCAAUGGCAUUUUUUCAUGCACAAACGGACAACACUACCAUUGGUCAAUCUCUUGAUGACUCAGUUGGAACCUCUUUCAAUCUUUAUCCUGAAACAAAUGCAGAAAUAACGACCACCACAAAGUUUGCCACUCAUGAAAGCCAAGAAUCCAAUAUUUCUACAAGAGAUUUCACCACAGAUAAUGAUGACAUGGUCCAAGCAGUUCUCGGAACCAUGAGCUUUCCUAUGAGUCCAUUGGACAAUUCUUCUGCAGUGCCUGCAAGUGCAGCAUCAGUCAUUGAACCAUCUACCAGCUCCCUCAUAAAUGGACACCAAGCCAAUACCAGCAUCAUGAUCCCUGAUUCCGGCUCUAAAAUUUCAGGAAUAGAGGAAGCUGACUCAUCACAAGGUCACACGGAGUCAAAUAACCCAUACGCCACAGUCUCUACUUCAGUUUUACCACAGAACUCCACCUUCAGACCAGCCACGAGCCCUUCCACCAAACAAAUCUCUAGUCAGGUCACUACAGAUAAGAUGAUUGUUGGACAAAUUGACUACCCUUCCAAAAUUGGACCUACAGAAAUGUCAACCAACAAUAGUGAUAGUGCCAUUCAGGUUCCUACACCUGAAUUGUCUUCAAACACCAAGCAACAGAGCUCAGAUCCCAGUCUAGAUGCUGGUCCCGGUCAGGCCUUGCAUUCCAUUGGUGAAGCCUUUGGUGACUCAAUUGUGAAAAAUGAAUCUGACUCUUUUCCCAAAUCUCAGAACCUUUCAGUCUCUCCAAAAGUCAUCUCAUCAACUACAGAACUUUACAGCUUCUCUCUCGAUCAUCAUAUCUCUGACAAAGUUUCUGCAGUGGAUACUUCCAAGAACAGAACAGAAUCCACAUCUACUGAUGUAGCUGAUUCAAACCAGUCCAUUUGUGCUGCUGUCGAACAAGUUUCCCAUGACUUUGAACCUGUCCAACUCGAAAAUAAGCCAAACAUCUCCUCAAAGACAGGAAAUACUAUCAACACAUCUGACUCAGGAUCUCCAUAUACCACUAAGACAAAUAUGUCAUCCACCAUGACGUAUGGAAGCUCAGAUCACAAUCCCAGCCAUGACUGGGCAUCAUCAUCCUCUGGUGACUCAGUUCUGAGAGAGGAAUCUGAUUUAAUCCCCAAAUCUCUGGACAUUCCAGUCCUUCCAGAAGUAAUCUCAUCAAACAUAGAACUUUCCAGCUUGUCCAUUGAUCGUAAUAACUCAAUGGAUGUUUCUGUAGUGGAAACUUCCAAGACCAGCACAGAAUACAACUCCACUGAUGUCCCUAACUCAAACCAGCCCAUUCUUGCUGCUACUGAACAAGUUUCCCAUGGCUUUGAACCUGCCCAACUCAAGGAUAAUUCAAAUAUUUCCAUAACAAAAGGAGACACCAUCAAUACCUUUGACUCAGGGUCCUCAUACACCACUAAGACAAAUGAAACCAGCACAGAAUCCUGUUCUACUGAUGUAACUAACUCAAACCAGCCCAUUCUGGCUGCUAUUGAACAAGUUUCCCAUGACUUUGAAACUGGCCAACUCCAAGACUCCAACUUUAAAUCAAAUAUCUCAUCAACAGCAGUAGACCCCAUUAAGACCUUUGACUCAGGGUCCUCCUACACCUCUCAGACAAAUCUGUCAUCCACCAUGAUGCAUGAAAGCUCAGAUCACAAUCCCAGCCAUGGCCAAGUUUUGUCAAGCUCUAGUGACUCAAUUCAACUCAAGGAUAAUUCAAAUAUCUCCAUAACUAAGGGAGACACCAUCAAGACCUUUGACUCAGGGUCCUCAUACACCACUAAACAGACAAAUCUGUCCAGCACAGGAUCCUAUUCUACUGAUCUCACCAUCUCAGACAAGCCAGACUCUACUGCUGUUAAACCACUUUCCCAUGGUUUUGAACCGGCCCAACUUCAAGACACAAACCUUAAGUCAACUAUCUCCUCAACAACAGUAGACCCCAUUAAGACCUUUGACUCAGGGUCCUCCUACACCGCUCAGACAAAUCUUUCAUCCACCAUGAUGCAUGAAAGCUCAGAUCACAAUCCCAGCCAUGGCUUGGCCUCGUCAACCUCUAGUGACUCAGUUCUGAAAGAUGAAUCUAAUUUUAUCCCCAAAUCUCUGGAUAUUCCAGUCCUUCCAGAAGUAAUCUCAUCAAACACUAAGCUUUCCAGCUUCUCUAUCGAGCGUCAUAACUCAGAAGAAGUUUCUCCAGUGGAUUCUUCCAGGAUUAACACCGAAUCCAACUCUACUGAUGUCACAGACUCAAACCAGCCCAUCCUUACUGUGGUUAAACCUGUUUGCCAUGACUUUGAACCUGCCCAACUCAAGGAUAAGUCAAAUAUCUCCAUAACAAAAGGAGACACCAUCACGACCUUUGACUCAGGGUCCUCAUACACCACUAAACAGACAAAUAUGUCCAGUACAGAAUCCCAUUUUACUGAUCUCACCAUCUCAGACAAGACUGACCU